AGCACUAGGUGGGUUUGCUCCCUCCCUAGAUCUUCCAUCCAGGAUAGUCCUGGAAAUGAUCUUGAUGCUAUCUGUUCCUCGUUACAGCAGACCUGCUCAACUUCAGCAGCUAGAAGGAGGAUUGUCUUUCACCAGCUGCAGGAGCCUGUUCCCACUACAAGCCUGGUGGAGUCUUCGGAGCAGAUGUGACUGUCCUACUUGUAUAGAGAAGAGAAACUGAGGCUCAGAAGAGAUGCCUGGCUGAGUUUAAUAGGACUGCAACAACAAUUUUGCCUUUCUACUUUCUGGUACAGUGGUCUUUCCUUUGCCAUCAUGCCUCAGCAUAUCCAUGUUAGUAAAUUCUCCCAGUUGGGGAAAAGCUUGGCAGCAAUGAAAGUUAAUGUGAUGAAUCAUUUAGAUGGACAGAUUGGAAAAAUGUUGUUCCUUUUGCAUGUGAUGUUCUUGCCAGAAAUCAAGUAGGUGGAGUUUUUGAAGCGUGAUCAGUUAGAUAAGUAUGGUGGUUUUAAAUAAUCAAGCAUGGAGCCAUACCGGUUAUGUUUAAUUUAUAACAAAAUCAGACAAUUCAGGCAUGAUGUUGAACUCAUUGAGCUUGGCUCACUACUACAUUUCUCUCACCAAAAGCAAUGACUAUAAAGAGUUACAAAUACCAUGACCUUAUAUCAUAAAGCAUAAAUUAUUCCAGGAAGUUUUCCAUUUAAGUCAACUUCUCAAAAUCUUAGGAGAAAACUACCAAUAUUCAGUUCAAACCCCAGAGGCUUAAGGAAAAAUAUUAAUGUUGAAAUAGCAAGUAAGUGGUAGUAUCCUCGCUGUAUGCACAAUUGCAUCUGCUCGGGGGUUAGUCUUUCUUUAGCUCCUGUCUACAACUCACACCAGUCUCCAUAAAAGAAAUGAGGUCUCACUGAUACCAUCUAGCUUAAUGAGAUAAAAAUCCUGGUGAUCUCUGCAAGAAAAUAAAACUAAGAUAAACUAGUAUCUGCUACUGAUAAAUAUUUAACAGAUGUGGUCCAAAUCCCUCUGCCAGCUGGAGGAAGGAAAAAAGUUCUAUUUUACUGCUUGGAUAUAAUUAUUGGCCACAUUUCUCCAAGCAAAGACAGUGACAUUGGCUCACUCCCCAGGAGAACUUUCUUCUGAUCUUGGCACUAGGAUUUGCUUUUCUUUAACAGAUUGCAGCAAUAUACCCUUCAUUUGACCCAGUUUAUUCAUUCAAAAGAUACCUGGAGCCAAAACCAUGUAUGAGAAAUAGCAAAGGAAGAGGCAGGCACAAGCUGUGUUUAUAUACCCACCAAAGGACUACAGCAAAACACAUAUAUUCUAGUCAGCUCUGAGUGCACCUGUCUGUGUCAACAGUAGACCAGCGUGGUCUGGCAGAUGACCAUAUGACCCAGCUGAUUCACUCCGGAGUUAGAGGAACUUUUCCCAGACCCUGAAAGUCACCUUUUUAGACAACUUCGCAAACAGCCAUCCUUGUUCACGGUAUCAUGCCCCUUGUCACUGCUAAACAGACCGUUUGCAAAGAAAUUUCCUAAACAUCACCACUGAGGCUCCUUCCAGCAAUGACUCUGGUCCAUCAUUGGGAUUGCUGAGCAGCUGUUUCAUAACAUGAACAAGGAUGUUUUAACCAUGUUUCUUGACCUGGCCAUUUGGAUCCCAAGGAUGUUUUGGUCCAAGAAUAAAUUCCAGAGCUUAGCUCACCGAAGAAGACAGGAAAACUUGUCAGAUGGGGAAGGAUGUGUCAAGAGCAUGCACACAGAUUUACUCUUCAGCUAGAAGCUCCAAUUCCUAGAUGAUCUGAAUCCAACUCAGAGUGCUUGCACCUGUUUCCUGCCACACAGCUAGAGCUGUAUGAUGACCGGAGACACAGCUGUUGGAGGAAAAAAGUUUAUGUCAAUUAAAAUCCUGAAUUUCUCUGAUCUGGAAAGAAAAACUGCUAUGAACUCUUUAGCAUUGUGCUUUACAUAUGACAGACACACUCCACAAUAUCUGAGAAAUAGAAUAACUGGGGAUGAAUGAAUGAGAAAAUUAAUGAAGAAAUGAAGGAAGUUACCUGGUCAAACUGCUAAGAAGUAACAAGGCAAAGGAAAGAACUAUGUUUCCUUUCUUCAACUCAGCCCUUAUUCCUACAUCCCGUGUCUGUGGUUCAUGUUACAAACCACACCAAUAAGAACUUUGUCAUACUAUUUGUCACUGUGAUCCGUUCCAUGGAAGAAAAUGGUUCAUUUUGCUCAUUAAUAUUAAUUAAGAUACAUAUUAAGUAACAUAGUUGAGCUUCGUUACGGUAGAUACUAUGGCUUUUUCUCCUUUUGUUCUGUUAUUAUCUGACACUUACUAUGUCC
Molecule: long non-coding RNA, 2333 nt
Organism: Homo sapiens (human)
Lineage: Eukaryota; Metazoa; Chordata; Mammalia; Primates; Hominidae
Source: Ensembl